GUGAAUCAUCAAAUCUUUGAACGCAAAUUGCACUCUCUGGCAUUCCGGAGAGUAUGCCUGGCUUAUGGUCAGUCUAAAUAAAAUUCGAGGCGUUGCUGUUUUGUGACCCAUCGGAAUUGGGUUAUCUUUGACCUUUUAAAACGUUUAAGUGACCUAAACUUGAUACCUUGUUCAUCUCAGACGUACAUAAGCAUAUUUUUUUAUCCGUCCGGAGUUGCCCUCUUUUUCUUAGCUAUGACCAGGCUGUUUGUGGCAUCGUGCCUAUAAUAUACGCAUAUUUUCACCU
Molecule: unclassified non-coding RNA, 286 nt
Filed under: Glomeraceae sp.
Lineage: Eukaryota; Fungi; Glomeromycota; Glomeromycetes; Glomerales; Glomeraceae
Description: partial internal transcribed spacer 2
Rfam family: 5.8S ribosomal RNA (bases 1-71)
Source: RNAcentral